GGCUGUAGCUCAGUGGUAGAGCAUUUGCCUCGCACAUGUGGGGCACUGGGUUCGAGCCUCAGCGCCA
RNAcentral lists this transfer RNA (67 nucleotides) under Marmota monax (woodchuck). RNAcentral's name for it is "tRNA.Ala". The record is from RNAcentral. Lineage: Eukaryota; Metazoa; Chordata; Mammalia; Rodentia; Sciuridae.